AGAGUUUGAUCCUGGCUCAGGAUGAACGCUAGCGACAGGCUUAACACAUGCAAGUCGAGGGGCAGCGGGGGCGUAGCAAUAUGCCUGCCGGCGACCGGCGCACGGGUGAGUAACACGUAUGUAACCUGCCCUAUGCAGGGGGAUAACCCGGAGAAAUCCGGCCUAAUACCGCGUAACACCUUAGGGGAGCAUUCUCUUGAGGUUAAAGGAGAGAUCCGGCAUAGGAUGGACAUGCGUCGCAUUAGGUAGACGGCGGGGUAACGGCCCACCGUGCCGACGAUGCGUAGGGGUUCUGAGAGGAAGGCCCCCCACACUGGUACUGAGACACGGACCAGACUCCUACGGGAGGCAGCAGUGAGGAAUAUUGGUCAAUGGCCGAGAGGCUGAACCAGCCAAGUCGCGUGAGGGAAGAAUGUCCUAAGGAUUGUAAACCUCUUUUGUCGGGGAGCAAAAAGGCUCUGCGGAGUCGUAUUGAGAGUACCCGAAGAAAAAGCAUCGGCUAACUCCGUGCCAGCAGCCGCGGUAAUACGGAGGAUGCGAGCGUUAUCCGGAUUUAUUGGGUUUAAAGGGUGCGCAGGCGGCGUGUCAAGCAAGCGGUAAAAUAGCGGGGCUCAACCCCGUCGAGCCGUUUGAACUGGCGCGCUUGAGUUCAGGCGAGGUAGGCGGAAUUCGUGGUGUAGCGGUGAAAUGCAUAGAUAUCACGAAGAACUCCGAUUGCGAAGGCAGCUUACCAGUCUGCGACUGACGCUCAGGCACGAAAGUGUGGGUAUCGAACAGGAUUAGAUACCCUGGUAGUCCACACAGUAAACGAUGAGCGCUAGGUGUCCGGGUCGCAUGAGACUUGGGUGCCCGAGCGAAAGCGUUAAGCGCUCCACCUGGGGAGUACGCCGGCAACGGUGAAACUCAAAGGAAUUGACGGGGGCCCGCACAAGCGGAGGAACAUGUGGUUUAAUUCGAUGAUACGCGAGGAACCUUACCCGGGCUCAAACGACUCAGGAAUAUAUUGGAAACGAUGUAGCCAGCAAUGGUCUGAGUCGAGGUGCUGCAUGGUUGUCGUCAGCUCGUGCCGUGAGGUGUCGGCUUAAGUGCCAUAACGAGCGCAACCCCUACCGCCAGUUGCCAACGGGUAAAGCCGGGAACUCUGGCGGGACUGCCGGCGCAAGCUGCGAGGAAGGCGGGGAUGACGUCAAAUCAGCACGGCCCUUACGUCCGGGGCGACACACGUGUUACAAUGGCAGGUACAGCGGGAAGCCACCUGGUGACAGGGAGCGGAACCCGAAAGCCUGUCUCAGUUCGGAUUGGAGUCUGCAACUCGACUCCAUGAAGCUGGAUUCGCUAGUAAUCGCGCAUCAGCCAUGGCGCGGUGAAUACGUUCCCGGGCCUUGUACUCACCGCCCGUCA
Molecule: ribosomal RNA, 1401 nt
Filed under: uncultured bacterium
Lineage: Bacteria
Description: 16S ribosomal RNA
Rfam family: Bacterial small subunit ribosomal RNA
Source: RNAcentral